UACCUUGUUACGACUUAGCCCCAAWUAUCGGUUUUACCCUAACACGCUCCUUGCGGUCACAUGCUUUAGGUACCCCCAACUUUCAUGGCUUGACGGGCGGUGUGUACAAGGCCCGGGAACGUAUUCACCGCGUCAUUGCUGAUACGCGAUUACUAGCGAAUCCAGCUUCACGGGGUCGAGUUGCAGACCCCGAUCCGAACUGUGAACGGCUUUAAGGGAUUGGCGCNCCUUUGCAGGUUGGCUGCCCUCUGUACCGCCCAUUGUAGCACGUGUGUAGCCCCGGACGUAAGGGCCAUGAUGACUUGACGUCGUCCCCGCCUUCCUCUCUGUUUGCACAGGCAGUCUGGAUAGAGUCCCCACCAUUAUGUGCUGGCAACUAUCCACAGGGGUUGCGCUCGUUGCGGGACUUAACCCAACACCUCACGGCACGAGCUGACGACAGCCAUGCAGCACCUAGUUUCCUGUCCCGAAGGACGAUAUCAUCUCUGGUAUCUUCAGUAACUUUCAAGCCCGGGUAAGGUUCCUCGCGUAUCAUCGAAUUAAACCACAUGCUCCUCCGCUUGUGCGGGCCCCCGUCAAUUCCUUUGAGUUUCACCCUUGCGGGCGUACUCCCCAGGUGGAACACUUAACGCUUUCGCUUGGACGCCGACUGUCUAUCGCCGACAUCGAGUGUUCAUCGUUUAGGGCGUGGACUACCAGGGUAUCUAAUCCUGUUCGAUCCCCACGCUUUCGUGCCUCAGCGUCAAUCGUACUUUGGUAAGCUGCCUUCGCAAUCGGUGUUCUGUGGCAUAUCUAUGCAUUUCACCGCUACUUGCCACAUUCCGCCUACCUCAGGUACAUUCAAGAGANCCAGUAUCAAAGGCACUGCGAUGGUUGAGCCACCGUCUUUCACCCCUGACUUAGAUCCCCGCCUGCGCACCCUUUAAACCCAAUAAUUCCGGAUAACGCUCGGAUCCUCCGUAUUACCGCGGCUGCUGGCACGGAGUUAGCCGAUCCUUAUUCUCACGGUACAUUCAGCUCAUUAUACAUAAUGAGGGUUAUUCCCGUGCAAAAGCAGUUUACAACCCGUAGGGCCGUCUUCCUGCACGCGGCAUGGCUGGUUCAGAGUUCCCUCCAUUGACCAAUAUUCCUUACUGCUGCCUCCCGUAGGAGUCUGGUCCGUGUCUCAGUACCAGUGUGGGGGAUUCUCCUCUCAGAGCCCCUAGACAUCGUCGCCUUGGUAGGCCGUUACCCUACCAACCAGCUAAUGUCACGCGAGCCCAUCCAUUUCCUAUAAAUAUUUCAUCACUACGCCAUGCGGCACCGUGAUCAUAUGCGGGCUUAAUCCGGAUUUCUCCGGGCUAUCCCCCUGAAAUGGGCAGGUUGCUCACGCGUUACGCACCCGUGCGCCACUCUCAUCGGUCACCGAAGCUACCGAAUCCCGUCCGACUUGCAUGUAUUAGGCCUGCCGCUAGCGUUCAUCCUGAGCCAGGAUAAACUCA
RNAcentral lists this ribosomal RNA (1481 nucleotides) under Olivibacter domesticus. Its description in RNAcentral is "16S ribosomal RNA". Lineage: Bacteria; Pseudomonadati; Bacteroidota; Sphingobacteriia; Sphingobacteriales; Sphingobacteriaceae. The record is from RNAcentral.